This is a long non-coding RNA of Astatotilapia calliptera (eastern happy), 1075 nucleotides long. Lineage: Eukaryota; Metazoa; Chordata; Actinopteri; Cichliformes; Cichlidae. The record is from Ensembl.
UGCACUUUAAACUGAAAACAGCAAGAAGCCCCCUCACAUGGAUAAACAUUUGGACUAAAUUUAUUUUGUAAUUUAUUCUGUGACGUCACACAACUUUGGAACACUGCAAAAGGGCAUCGAAGCUCCAAACACCUGGAAACUGGCAAACGUGAGCUUAAGAUUGUCGGAGGGGAACCGGAUGGCGUUGACAAGGCAACGGGAGCUCAUUAUCUCGUCGUCUAUGCUGGUCCACGGUGCGCCAUUGAUGGGUGCCAGAGGAGAGUUUCGAGCAGACAGAUGGGGUUGAACUCUGCAUUUCACGCAAAAGACGAGUGAGCUGGGAUAACAGCGUCCACAGAAAUGACAUGUCGGUGUUGUAAUCCUGGAUUACCUGUCUGCCUUGCUCUACUUCACUGUUCGUGUUGCACGUUCCACAUUAGACAAGAUGACAAACAGUGGCUAAGCCUGAGCUGCUGUGAGACUAUUUGAUAUGUAUUGUCAAGAUACAACAUGUAUGCAUUUAAAUUCAGCUAUCUAACACUCCUUACCCACACGUUUUCUACUGACCAUUUUUUGAAAUGAUGUCUGAAAAGGACAGGUAAGCCUGAAGCAGUUAAAGAAGAGGGGAAGGCGGAGAUGCAUCUGGACCCAUUUGAAAUUACUGCUUGUCUGAUUUCUUUUUUCUUACUUUUCUGUUGGAAGUGAACAUACAGCACUCAACUUGCAGCAGGUGGUUUACGUCAUAUCUUCCAGGAGUGAGCUAUUUAAGUUCUAAAAGAUUAAGUGUUGGACUAUGGCUAAAGCUUGCAGCAUAAAUCCUGGUGCACAAUACACCAGCUUCCUGAGCAAGAGACCUUCUGAACAAUAAAAAUUUGUUUUUGGUCAGGUAGACCAAAAAAAGCGACUGAAAGUCACGAAUAUGAAACCACAUAGUGAGCAUGAAUUAUUUACUACAAUUUAAGAGAUUUUAAGUUAACAAAGACGGUCAAAUAAAGGUAGUUUUAUGUGGCAUGUUCAAGAUAUUUUUAUUCCUUUUUUGGAUAUUUUCAGGCGUUCUUUUGAAUUUUCACUGAGCUGAGAAAUCGGUGCACACACC